CUCCUUAUCUGAUACAGUUGUAGCUUCUUUCUCUCUUCUGAAUUUGUCCUAAAAGGAAAUCACUGUCCUAAAAAAACUGUUCUUGAUGGGAGAAUAGUAUUAAUGUGAAGACACAGUUUUGGAUCCCUAUGUACAGAAAUUUAUCUCCUAAAACAAAACAUCAUCUACUGAGAUAUUCUGAUUACAUAGAAGACUCACCAGGAGUGAAAAACGGACGCCGACGACAUCAACAAUCUCCGAUUACUCCGACAAUAGAUGGAGGUACGCUAAUCCUUAUCUGAAGUGGUCAUUGAACAUGUUCUCUUAUGGCUAGCUCCUUGAUGUCGAUAUACUUGCUUCGGCGACCACUUUUGUAAUUCUUAGCCAAAACAACAACUGAAUUAUCAUAAUAUAGCUUUAAUGGCUUAGAGAUGGAGUCGACAAUGUUAGCCCAUAUGUUAUUGGGCCUUUAGUUUAUGGACCUUUAGGUUAUUGGCUAUGUAUAUAUAGCCUACUCUUGUUUUAGUUAGUUUUAUGCUUUUCAGAUUAUAUUGUAAACCUUAGCCUUUCUUCCCUUCAAUAAAGUUCUAUUAACAUGGUAUCAAAGCAGCGAACUGUGGAGGACGAGAUGACCACGGAGGAGCACCAGAUGGGCGUGACGGAUACUUUUGCUGCCCAUAUUUCUGUUGCUGCACCAUCUGUAGAUGUUGAGUCUGUUAGCACUAUGCCACCUUCUGCGUUGGAUCCCCAGGUUUUCGAACAGUUCAGACAGUUCUUCGUUUCUAAUCCUACGGCCAUGUCAGCAUCUAUGUCUCAUUCGGG
This 801-nucleotide long non-coding RNA is filed under the name Capsicum annuum. Its description in RNAcentral is "long non-coding RNA (CANN_LNC020162)". Lineage: Eukaryota; Viridiplantae; Streptophyta; Magnoliopsida; Solanales; Solanaceae. The record is from RNAcentral.